UGGCUACACUCUCCGUCGCAACCUCACCUACACAAUUUGUGCCAUAUUCAAGCCCGCAUCACUACCAUCUGCAUUGGCGGAGGUGUGGGUAAAGUAGCAGAGAGGAGCACGAUGUUGACAUGGUGGGUAGCGGCAGAGGAGAAGGGAGAGAAAGCAAGAGAACAAAAAAAGAAAAAGAGAAAGGGACGACAGAAGAGAAACGAGAGAGAGAUAUAAAGGUAUUUUGGUCAGUUUACUGAAAAUUCAAAUUUGAUAUGCAAAAUUCAAAAAUGU
Molecule: long non-coding RNA, 273 nt
Filed under: Ananas comosus (pineapple)
Lineage: Eukaryota; Viridiplantae; Streptophyta; Magnoliopsida; Poales; Bromeliaceae
Description: long non-coding RNA (ACOM_LNC027124)
Source: RNAcentral